CAAUUUUACUGAUCUGGACACACCACCUUCGCAGGUCUAAAAUUUUGAGUUUUCAGGUCUAAAAUGUAACUGAUGUAAAGAUUUGUCCAUCCCUUGACAGAAUCCGACUUUUUUUCCAGCUGGUGCACUGAGGGAGGCGUUUGAUGUAGCAACUGCCUUUAAAAAACAAUGCCAUGAUUGAUUCAUUCCCCACUGUAUGUUCGUCCAGCAGAGGAUGCCCUUCAGUGGAAAAUUCUGAAACCUUAUUCAGCUUUGAUGUAUAGCUGGCACAGUUUGUUAAUAAUCUCUAUGAACAUUUGUACAAAUGGUGACAAAAAAGUUCUUUUAUAACCAUGGAAUCAUGACAUGGAAUGUAUUAUUAAUGUGUAUACCUUCAAUGUGGAUUAUCGAAGACUACUUUCGUUUCAUAUUCA
Triticum dicoccoides is the source of this 413-nucleotide long non-coding RNA. RefSeq lists it as uncharacterized. The transcript has 4 exons. Lineage: Eukaryota; Viridiplantae; Streptophyta; Magnoliopsida; Poales; Poaceae. The record is from RefSeq and is a predicted model, not a curated record.